GGGCCCGCACAAGCGGUGGAGCAUGUGGUUUAAUUCGAUGAUACGCGAGGAACCUUACCAGGGCUUAAAUGUAGGUUGCAUGAUCUAGAGAUAGAUCUUUCUUCGGACUACCUACAAGGUGCUGCAUGGUUGUCGUCAGCUCGUGCCGUGAGGUGUCAGGUUAAGUCCUAUAACGAGCGCAACCCCUGUCGUUAGUUGCCAUCGAGUAAUGUCGGGAACUCUAACAAGACUGCCGGUGCAAACCGUGAGGAAGGUGGGGAUGACGUCAAAUCAUCACGGCCCUUACGUCCUGGGCUACACACGUGCUACAAUGGCCGGUACAGAGAGCAGCCACUACGCGAGUAGGAGCGAAUCUCAUAAACCUUUUCGUAGUCCGGAUUGGAGUCUGCAACUCGACUCCAUGAAGUCGGAAUCGCUAGUAAUCG
Molecule: ribosomal RNA, 425 nt
Filed under: uncultured bacterium
Lineage: Bacteria
Description: bacterial SSU rRNA
Rfam family: Bacterial small subunit ribosomal RNA
Source: RNAcentral